AACGAACGCUGGCGGCAUGCCUAACACAUGCAAGUCGAACGAGACCUUCGGGUCUAGUGGCGCACGGGUGCGUAACGCGUGGGAACCUGCCCUUAGGUUCGGAAUAACUGCCCGAAAGGGGUGCUAAUACCGGAUAAUGUCUUCGGGCCAAAGAUUUAUCGCCUUUGGAUGGGCCCUCGUUGGAUUAGCUAGUUGGUAGGGUAAAAGCCUACCAAUGCGACGUUCCAUGGCUGAUCUGGGUGGAGGACACGCCACACUGGGACUGAGACACGGCCCAGACGCCUACGGGAGGCAGCGGUGGGGAAUAUUAUACAAUGAACGAAAGCCUAAUCCAGCCAUGCCGCGUGAGUCAUACAGCCCUUAGGGUUGUAAAUCUCUUUUACCCGGGAUGAUAAUGACAGUACCGGGAGAAUAAGCUCCGGCUAACUCCGUG
Molecule: ribosomal RNA, 433 nt
Filed under: uncultured bacterium
Lineage: Bacteria
Description: partial 16S ribosomal RNA
Rfam family: Bacterial small subunit ribosomal RNA
Source: RNAcentral